Molecule: ribosomal RNA, 308 nt
Filed under: uncultured bacterium
Lineage: Bacteria
Description: bacterial SSU rRNA
Rfam family: Bacterial small subunit ribosomal RNA
Source: RNAcentral
UUGGAAACUGAUUUAUUUGAGUGCGAUAGAGGCAAGUGGAACUCCAUGUGUAGCGGUGAAAUGCGUAAAUAUGUGGAAGAACACCAGUGGCGAAAGCGGCUUGCUAGAUCGUAACUGACGUUGAGGCUCGAAAGUAUGGGUAGCAAACGGGAUUAGAUACCCCGGUAGUCCAUACCGUAAACGAUGGGUGCUAGUUGUUAAGAGGUUUCCGCCUCCUAGUGACGUAGCAAACGCAUUAAGCACCCCGCCUGAGGAGUACGGCCGCAAGGCUAAAACUUAAAGGAAUUGACGGGGACCCGCACAAGCGG